This 495-nucleotide ribosomal RNA is filed under the name uncultured bacterium. RNAcentral's name for it is "partial 16S ribosomal RNA". It matches the Rfam family "Bacterial small subunit ribosomal RNA", at positions 30 to 507 of the family's 1533-position model. The record is from RNAcentral.
UGAACGCUGGCGGCGUGCCUACUACAUGCACGUCGAGCGACCAGACGAGGAGCUUGCUCCUCUGACGUUAGCGGCGGACGGGUGAGUAACACGUGGAUAACCUACCUAUAAGACUGGGAUAACUUCGGGAAACCGGAGCUAAUACCGGAUAAUAUAUUGAACCGCAUGGUUCAAUAGUGAAAGACGGUUUUGCUGUCACUUAUAGAUGGAUCCGCGCCGCAUUAGCUAGUUGGUAAGGUAACGGCUUACCAAGGCGACGAUGCGUAGCCGACCUGAGAGGGUGAUCGGCCACACUGGAACUGAGACACGGUCCAGACUCCUACGGGAGGCAGCAGUAGGGAAUCUUCCGCAAUGGGCGAAAGCCUGACGGAGCAACGCCGCGUGAGUGAUGAAGGUCUUCGGAUCGUAAAACUCUGUUAUUAGGGAAGAACAAAUGUGUAAGUAACUAUGCACGUCUUGACGGUACCUAAUCAGAAAGCCACGGCUAACUACGUG